CCGACCGGCGCACGGGUGAGCAACACGUAUGCAACCUGGCCGCCACAGGGGGAUAACCCGCGGAAACGCGGCCUAAUACCCCGUGACGCCACCGGAGGGCAUCCUCCGGGUGGCCAAAAGGAGCGAUCCGGUGGCGGAUGGGCAUGCGGCGCAUUAGCUAGACGGCGGGGUGACGGCCCACCGUGGCGACGAUGCGUAGGGGUUCUGAGAGGAAGGCCCCCCACACUGGGACUGAGACACGGCCCAGACUCCUACGGAAGGCAGCAG
Molecule: ribosomal RNA, 267 nt
Filed under: uncultured bacterium
Lineage: Bacteria
Description: partial 16S ribosomal RNA
Rfam family: Bacterial small subunit ribosomal RNA
Source: RNAcentral